UCACAAGACCGAGUUUUGAUUAAGUGGAA
RNAcentral lists this non-coding RNA (29 nucleotides) under Mus musculus (house mouse). Lineage: Eukaryota; Metazoa; Chordata; Mammalia; Rodentia; Muridae. The record is from RNAcentral.